GGGGCGGUAGCUCAGUUGGUUAGAGCGCCACGUUGACAUCGUGGAGGUCGUCAGUUCGACUCUGGCCCGCCCCACGA
This 77-nucleotide transfer RNA is filed under the name Calditrichota bacterium. RNAcentral describes it as "Calditrichaeota bacterium tRNA-Val". It matches the Rfam family "tRNA". From Rfam's summary of the family: Transfer RNA (tRNA) molecules are approximately 80 nucleotides in length. Lineage: Bacteria; Pseudomonadati; Calditrichota. The record is from RNAcentral.